This 253-nucleotide ribosomal RNA is filed under the name uncultured bacterium. Its description in RNAcentral is "partial 16S ribosomal RNA". It matches the Rfam family "Bacterial small subunit ribosomal RNA", at positions 524 to 777 of the family's 1533-position model. The record is from RNAcentral.
UACGAAGGGGGCUAGCGUUGUUCGGAUUUACUGGGCGUAAAGCGCACGUAGGCGGCUUCUUAAGUCGGUGGUGAAAUCCUGGAGCUCAACUCCAGAACUGCCUUCGAUACUGGGAGCUCGAGUCCGGGAGAGGUGAGUGGAACUGCGAGUGUAGAGGUGAAAUUCGUAGAUAUUCGCAAGAACACCAGUGGCGAAGGCGGCUCACUGGCCCGGUACUGACGCUGAGGUGCGAAAGCGUGGGGAGCAAACAGGG